UACGGGGGGUGCGAGCGUUGUCCGGAAUCACUGGGCGUAAAGGGCGCGUAGGUGGUGUCGUAAGUUUGUGGUGAAAGCCCGGGGCUCAACCCCGGGUCUGCCGCGAAUACUGCGAGACUUGAGUGCUGUAGAGGGGGGUAGAAUGCCGGGUGUAGCGGUGGAAUGCGUGGAGAUCCGGCAGAAGACCGGUGGCGAAGGCGGCCCCCUGGGCAGUAACUGACACUGAGGCGCGACAGCGUGGGGAGCAAACAGG
RNAcentral lists this ribosomal RNA (253 nucleotides) under uncultured bacterium. RNAcentral describes it as "partial 16S ribosomal RNA". It matches the Rfam family "Bacterial small subunit ribosomal RNA", at positions 524 to 776 of the family's 1533-position model. The record is from RNAcentral.